Molecule: ribosomal RNA, 301 nt
Filed under: uncultured bacterium
Lineage: Bacteria
Description: partial 16S ribosomal RNA
Rfam family: Bacterial small subunit ribosomal RNA
Source: RNAcentral
CAGUCGCCGCGGUAAUACGUAGGGUGCGAGCGUUAAACGGAAUUACUGGGCGUAAAGCGUGCGCAGGCGGUUGUGUAAGACAGGUGUGAGAUCCCCGGGCUUAACCUGGGAACUGCGCUUGUGACUGCACAGCUAGAGUAUGGCAGAGGGGGGAGGAAUUCCACGUGUAGCAGUGAAAUGCGUAGAGAUGUGGAGGAACACCGAUGGCGAAGGCAGCCCCCUGGGCCAAUACUGACGCUCAUGCACGAAAGCGUGGGGAGCAAACAGGAUUAGAUACCCCCGUAGUCCCUGUCUCUUAUAC